This 2425-nucleotide long non-coding RNA is filed under the name Heterocephalus glaber (naked mole-rat). Its description in RNAcentral is "lncRNA (ENSHGLG00000028730.2)". The record is from RNAcentral. Lineage: Eukaryota; Metazoa; Chordata; Mammalia; Rodentia; Bathyergidae.
CUUCAUCCCUUUUCAGAUGGGAGCCAACAGCUCAGUGCUCACUGAUUUAAAGUUAGACACAUCUCGGGGGAAAAGCAACAGCCUUGUGGGAAUACGGAGGAGGAAGCUGGCCCAAAGAGCCCAGUAACUGCACCGUACUCAGCACAAUGCCCGGCACACCAUUCUAACAGCAGCAGCUAAAACUCAGAACAUCCUACCAGAUGCGUGUUGUACACCAGAUACUGUUGUCAGCACUGUGGACAAAACAGAUGAGCAGUCCUGUCCUGAUGGAGCUGCUGCUUUAGCAAUGGGAAAGAAAAAUCAAAGAAAAACGACAUGAGCGAAACACGUAGCAUGUCAGAUGGCUGUAGGUGCUGUGAAGACAAAUAAGGUUGCUUAUGUGAGAGUGUAUUUACGAGCCCUGUGGAGUGAGACAGUCUGAGGGAAGAGGAAGAUUUAGAAGGGGACACAUGGUCUGUGUUGAGCCCAGAGUGAGGAUAGGUGCCUUGGAGAAGGGAGGCUUCUCUCUGUUUACUACUGACUUGUCCAGAAGUGAAGGAGUAGAAUGAAAAUCCAGGGAUGGAACUCAGGACCUUGCGCUUACAAGGCAGGCGUGGUGCCACUGAGCCAAAUCCCUGGCCCCACACUAGUGUCUUUUUACAAGCUUGCUUUUCUGUUGGAUGGCAGUUGACAACAGCAUUUCCUGUAUUUUUGAUCACAUCUCCCACAGACCCUCACGAAAGAGGACUUCCAGAACUGCUUCUGAAAGAGGUGAGAAUGAUCAAAUAAGUGUGUUCAGAGCAAGAGGGAAUAUUUUGUGGGGGAUUAGUGGCAAUGUGUCUUCUACUGUGAUAAUUAUUUUAAAAUGUAAACAUUCAUGGUAUUUUUCAACCACCCCUGUAUAUAGUGCCUCUGAGAGAAUUCAAAUUAGAAGAUGGUACCCACUCCUCCAGACUCUUUGCUGUCACCUUCCAUCCUCAGACAUGAAUGGUGCCCUGAGGUGAUGUGGGACACACAUUAUCCUUUGCAUAAAUGAGAGCUGCUACUAUCAUAAUCAUUAUCAUCACCUUGAUGGCAAGUGGCCCCAUCGUGACCUUUGGUGGGUUGGGUGGACCAGUAUGAGCCUGAUUAAUUCAGAUUUCAUUAUAGGAGAGCAAUCAGAGCUGAGCAGCUAAUAUGUUGUUGUGGCAAGCGGUGCAGGUGUGCUGGGAGCCACGUCUUCUUAUUAGAGCCUCUUUGUCACCUGGUGUCAGAAGCUGAAGGUCAUCAAAAUGUGGGCCACCUCUAAAUCACUGUGCCGCCAACAUAACUCCUACCACCGAGCAGACUGUCUUCAGCCACUGGAGCCCAAAAUAGAACCUAAUGGAUUUAGGAAGCAAUCAAUGCUGUCAGUGCUUCUGAAGACAUUUGUGGGUUGUAGCCUAUAAAAUAUUAAUUCUUUCUAUUUGUCUUUAAGAAUAUAUUUUAUGUGUUAAUGCAUUAUUGAAAGAUGCUUUAAUGUUAAGUGACUUUUUAAGACCCAAGAUUCAAACAGCUAAGUUUAUUUUUCUUUAGGAUAUUAAUGUAAAAUAUAAAGACAAAAGCAGAUCCCACUGACCGUACCAGUAGCCAUGCAUUGACAAGCAGGAAAUCAAACUGUAAAAUUCAAGUUGUUUUAUUCAUGUUUUGAUGGGCAAAUAAAUAACUUAUGUAUAGCAUUUCCCAUCUAAUGAAAUGUUUUACUGUUGGAUUUAUUGGGCACAUUUAUGAAAUCACAACUGUGCAGCUCUGCUUUAUUUGGCCUUAAUGACAUGAAGGCCAGGGAGGACUGUGGAUCUUCAGUGUCCAGAGUGAAGUGUGGACGGAGGAGGUAUCGCAAAUCAAAGGGUAAUCGGGAAGACACACAGAAAAUCGUUGAAGACUGACUCAGAAUUCAUCUUCUACUCAAGGACCACUGUGUAUACAUUUGUCUCCUUCCAUGCAUGAACACUGUAUACUGGUACAAAAGUACACAGUAUAUUUCUUGUUUUAUUUCACAGAAAAUGAAGUUCUACAAGGCAUGAUUUACUGCACUUUUAGGGGCCACAAACCACUUAAAUUUCCUGUGACUGUGGUGCCACACUGAAGAAGCAUGUCCACAUGCACACGAAGUUCUUCCUGUGGUUUCUGAGGGUCCUUUCCUCCCUGUGUGAGACAGCUGGGCUCCGGUCUAGUCCGGUGGUCUUGCUUUUCAUCCAAGAUUCUGAGGUUUAAAGGAGUGAUGACCCUGCCAGUGUCACUCAGUUCCUGAUACCUCAUCCCAAUACCCCCUCUCUACACAGUAAGCAGGUGCCAGCAAGGUGGCCAGCAGUGUGGGCUCCUGAGCUCAAAUCCAGAUUUGCUACUCACUGGCCUUGAGCAACUUACUUAGCUUUGUGUGCCAAAAUGUCUUUGUGUAUUUCCUUCACUGUCUGCUUCUUUUUCCCCC